RNAcentral lists this ribosomal RNA (522 nucleotides) under Triticum aestivum (bread wheat). Its description in RNAcentral is "partial small subunit ribosomal RNA". The record is from RNAcentral. Lineage: Eukaryota; Viridiplantae; Streptophyta; Magnoliopsida; Poales; Poaceae.
AUGCAGAAGACCAACCAGCGAACAAAAUCAGAUUUACGACAGACUGACAGAGACAAGUUUCAUUUCCGACAAGGUACGCAAAUAACUUUGUUCCACGAUUCAGUUCGAACUACAGAGGAAACAGCUAUAACUAGACAAGUCGGGGUUUCAUCAAGCUUUUGGAAUCUGCAGGCGGCGACAAAGACCGACGACCGUCGGACGGCCCUAGCCGCCGAAGCCGUAGAGGGUGCGGCCCUGGCGCUUGAGCGCGUAGACGACGUCCAUGGCGGUGACGGUCUUGCGUCGGGCGUGCUCGGUGUAGGUGACGGCGUCGCGGAUGACGUUCUCGAGGAAGAUCUUCAGCACGCCGCGGGUCUCCUCGUAGAUGAGCCCCGAGAUGCGCUUCACGCCGCCGCGCCGCGCCAGCCGCCGGAUCGCCGGCUUGGUGAUGCCCUGGAUGUUGUCGCGCAGCACCUUCCUGUGGCGCUUGGCGCCGCCCUUCCCGAGCCCCUUGCCUCCCUUGCCGCGCCCGGACAUGGCUGA